AAUUUGCCCCGAAGAGGGGGAUAAUCCAGAGAAAUUUGGCCUAAUACCCCGUACCUUUCCUUCCAGCCUGCUGGAUUGAAAGAAAGGCUUCGGCCGCUUUGGGAGAAGCUUGCGGCUUAUCAGGUAGUUGGUGGGGUAACGGCCUACCAAGCCGAAGACGAGUAACCGGUGUGAGAGCACGAUCGGUCAGAGGGGGACUGAGACACGGCCCCCACUCCUACGGGAGGCAGCAGCAGGGAAUCUUGCGCAAUGGGCGAAAGCCUGACGCAGCGACACCGCGUGGAGGAUGAAGGUCUUAGGAUUGUAAACUCCUUUUAUCAGGGAAGAGAAAGGACGGUACCUGAUGAAUAAGGUUCGGCUAACUACGUGCCAGCAGCCGCGGUAAUACGUAGGAACCGAGCGUUGUCCGAAUUUACUGGGCGUAAAGAGCGCGUAGGUGGUUCGUUAAGUCUCAUGUGUAAUCUCCCGGCUCAACUGGGAGGGGUCAUGGGAUACUGGCAGACUUGAGGGUAGCAGAGGAAAGCGGAAUUCCCGGAGUAGUGGUGAAAUGCGUAGAUACCGGGAGGAACACCAGAGGCGAAGGCGGCUUUCUGGGCUAUUCCUGACACUGAGGCGCGAAAGCGUGGGGAGCGAACCGGAUUA
RNAcentral lists this ribosomal RNA (642 nucleotides) under uncultured bacterium. Its description in RNAcentral is "bacterial SSU rRNA". It matches the Rfam family "Bacterial small subunit ribosomal RNA", at positions 123 to 780 of the family's 1533-position model. The record is from RNAcentral.